GGUCUGGGAUAGCCAUUCUAACGGAUGGGUAAAACUGGACGAUUUGGCGCAAGUCAAGAAAGGUAACGCCUCAUGAGGGGCCCAAAUGGUAUUAGCUAGUUGGUGAGGUAAUGGCUCACCAAGGCGAUGAUGCCUAGCGGGUGUGAGAGCACGACCCGCGCCAUUGGCACUGAGACACUGGCCAGACUCCUACGGGAGGCUGCAGUCGAGGAUCUU
This 216-nucleotide ribosomal RNA is filed under the name Blepharisma japonicum. RNAcentral's name for it is "partial Bacterial small subunit ribosomal RNA". It matches the Rfam family "Bacterial small subunit ribosomal RNA", at positions 135 to 365 of the family's 1533-position model. The record is from RNAcentral. Lineage: Eukaryota; Ciliophora; Heterotrichea; Heterotrichida; Blepharismidae.